UCAACAAACUAACAGUUUUUUUCCUUCCAAAACAACUGCUCUUCUUGUCUAAUUCUAAACUUUCUCCUACUAUACGUGACAUAUGAUAAAGCUAAUAUCCUAGUAACUGAAAUUUUAGUGCGGCAGCUCAUCCCAAAUUCCAGUUGAAACAAGGGUUGUCAUAUCAUGAUGGCAGAUUGUACGAGGGCACAACUGUAUUUAAGACAGAAUUUAUUUGCUCGGUAUCACAAUAGUGCAAUUGGAGGCCAUUCAGGUAUUCACAACACUUAUUUGAGGUUGCAGAAUCAUUUUUAUUGGCUUGGCAUGCACUCAGAUGUGUUUAAGUGUAACAGUGUGCAGAUUGCGCUCAGUGUAAAGGUAUUACAUACUGUAGAAAGGAGGUAUAGGAAUAAAGAUAGGAAGUAAUGUAG
RNAcentral lists this unclassified non-coding RNA (410 nucleotides) under Hevea brasiliensis (rubber tree). The record is from RNAcentral. Lineage: Eukaryota; Viridiplantae; Streptophyta; Magnoliopsida; Malpighiales; Euphorbiaceae.